RNAcentral lists this ribosomal RNA (484 nucleotides) under uncultured bacterium. RNAcentral's name for it is "partial 16S ribosomal RNA". It matches the Rfam family "Bacterial small subunit ribosomal RNA", at positions 30 to 507 of the family's 1533-position model. The record is from RNAcentral.
AUUGAACGCUGGCGGCAGGCCUAACACAUGCAAGUCGAGCGGAUGAAGGGAGCUUGCUCCUGGAUUCAGCGGCGGACGGGUGAGUAAUGCCUAGGAAUCUGCCUGGUAGUGGGGGAUAACGUCCGGAAACGGGCGCUAAUACCGCAUACGUCCUGAGGGAGAAAGUGGGGGAUCUUCGGACCUCACGCUAUCAGAUGAGCCUAGGUCGGAUUAGCUAGUUGGUGUGGUAAAGGCCUACCAAGGCGACGAUCCGUAACUGGUCUGAGAGGAUGAUCAGUCACACUGGAACUGAGACACGGUCCAGACUCCUACGGGAGGCAGCAGUGGGGAAUAUUGGACAAUGGGCGAAAGCAUGAUCCAGCAAUGCCGCGUGUGUGAAGAAGGUCUUCGGAUUGUAAAGCACUUUAAGUUGGGAGGAAGGGCAGUAAGUUAAUACCUUGCUGUUUUGACGUUACCAACAGAAUAAGCACCGGCUAACUUCGUG